UACAGAGGUGGCAAGCGUUGCUCGGUAUCACUGGGCUUAAAGGGCGCGUAGGCGGUGCGGUACGGUUUCGGUGAAAUCCCUCGGCCCAACCGAGGAACAGCCGGGGCUACGGCCGCGCUAGACGGCAUCAGGGGACAGUGGAACUUCCGGUGGAGCGGUGAAAUGCGUAGAUAUCGGAAGGAACGCCGGUGGCGAAAGCGACUGUCUGGGGUGCCUGUGACGCUGAGGCGCGAAAGCCAGGGGAUCAAACGGG
This 253-nucleotide ribosomal RNA is filed under the name uncultured bacterium. Its description in RNAcentral is "partial 16S ribosomal RNA". It matches the Rfam family "Bacterial small subunit ribosomal RNA", at positions 524 to 776 of the family's 1533-position model. The record is from RNAcentral.